Molecule: RNA transcript, 1400 nt
Organism: Homo sapiens (human)
Lineage: Eukaryota; Metazoa; Chordata; Mammalia; Primates; Hominidae
Gene: FCF1P2
Gene name: FCF1 pseudogene 2
Exons: 1
Source: RefSeq, marked validated
GCGCAGUGGCUCAUUCCUGUAAUUCCAACACUUUGGGAGGCUGAGGGGGGAGGAUCACUUAAGUCCAGGAGUUUGAGACCAGCCUGGGCAACAUGGUGAGACCCCUGUGUCUACAAAAAUAAAAAUAAAAAACUUAGCUGGGUGUGGUGGUGCAUGCUUGUGUCCCAGCUACUUGGGAGGCAAAGUGGGAGGAUUGCUUGAGCCUGAGAGAUUGAGGCUUCAGUGCAGUUUGAGCCACUGCACACACUCCAGCCUGGGUGACAGUGAGACCCUGUCUUAAAAAAAUAAGAGUAUGACAUGAGCAUGUGAGAGCAAAAGAAAACAAGGAAGUCUGCGACCAUGAAGCGAAUGCUUAGUCUCUGAUAUCACAGGCUUAAAGAAAAUGAUAAAGACCUAAAAAGAAAAGAAAUAUCCCAGCAUGCUGAAGGAAAGAAAAGUUCCCCAAUACCCUUCCUGCUUAUUUUUCCAAUAUAUUACACAGCUGGGUCCACCUUACCACGUCCUGUUUGAUUCCAGCGUUACCAACUUUUCUAUUGGAGCCAAAUAAGACAUACUGCAAUCAGUGAUGAACUGUCUAUAUGCCAAGUGUAUCCCUUGUGUAACUGUGUAAUGGCUGAAACUGAGAAAUUGGGGCGAAGUAUCAAGUGGCUUAAAGGAUUGCCAAGGAUCCAAAAUUUGAACGAUUACCAAAUUACCACGCACAGGAAGGAAUCUAUGCAGAUGACUGCUUAGCACAGAGAGUUACUCAGCAUAAGUGUUGUAGCCACGAACCUGGGACCUUAAAAGAAGAAUCCUAAGAUUCUUGGAGUUCCUAUCAUGUACAUUUCUAACCAUAGAUACAACAUGGGAACUGAUGUCAGAUGAUUAUGGAGCCCCUUGGUUCUAAUUCUUGCCCAAGUUCCUCUGCCUUUCUUCCACCAACUUUCUCUUGUUGCCAGUUCAUUAAACAUGGAAUAGAAUGUUAUUCUGUUCAAUUCAUUUGCCCUGUUAUCAGCUGAAUAUGGUUAAACACACUCAAUUUUUCAUGCUGUUUUGAAAUUGAUAUUUUGUUGCAUUUAAAAAAUUUAAAUGAUGGUCAAAGGGUACAAAAUCUCCGACAGGAAGAAUCCAUUUUAUAAUUUUUUUGAGGUCUGUUGCACAGUGUGGUGAAUAUAGUUAGUAGAGUAUUAUACAUUUCAAAAUUGCUAAGAGUAAAUUUCAAAUGUUCUCACUACAAAAUGCUAAGUAUUUGAAGUGAUGGAUAUGUUAACUAGCUCGAUUUAAUUAUUCUACAUUGUAUCCACAGAUUAUGACAUCAUUUUGUAACCCAUAAAUUUAUACAAUUAUAAAUUGUCAUUUACAGUAAGAAAUAAUUUGUUGCAUCUUUUUAGAAAAAUAAAAUAAUUUUUUACAUCUGUGUA